Molecule: ribosomal RNA, 387 nt
Filed under: uncultured microorganism
Description: bacterial SSU rRNA
Rfam family: Bacterial small subunit ribosomal RNA
Source: RNAcentral
GAGUUUGAUCAUGGCUCAGGACGAACGCUGGCGGCGUGCUUAACACAUGCAAGUCGAACGGUAAGGCUCCAGCUUGCUGGGGUACACGAGUGGCGAACGGGUGAGUAACACGUGGGUGACCUGCCCUGCACUUCGGGAUAAGCCUGGGAAACUGGGUCUAAUACCGGAUAGGACCGCACCGUGAGGGUGUGGUGGAAAGUUUUUUCGGUGUGGGAUGGGCCCGCGGCCUAUCAGCUUGUUGGUGGGGUAAUGGCCUACCAAGGCGGCGACGGGUAGCCGGCCUGAGAGGGUGGACGGCCACAUUGGGACUGAGACACGGCCCAGACUCCUACGGGAGGCAGGCAGUGGGGAAUAUUGCACAAGUGGGCGGAAGCCUGAUGCAGCGAC